RNAcentral lists this ribosomal RNA (1362 nucleotides) under unidentified marine bacterioplankton. RNAcentral's name for it is "bacterial SSU rRNA". It matches the Rfam family "Bacterial small subunit ribosomal RNA", at positions 9 to 1371 of the family's 1533-position model. The record is from RNAcentral.
GAGUUUGAUCAUGGCUCAGAUUGAACGCUGGCGGCAUGCCUUACACAUGCAAGUCGAACGGCAGCGCGGACUUCGGUCUGGCGGCGAGUGGCGAACGGGUGAGUAAUACAUCGGAACGUACCUUGUUGUGGGGGAUAACUAGUCGAAAGAUUAGCUAAUACCGCAUACGACCUGAGGGUGAAAGCGGGGGACCGAAAGGCCUCGCGCAGCAGGAGCGGCCGAUGUCUGAUUAGCUAGUUGGUGGGGUAAAGGCCCACCAAGGCGACGAUCAGUAGCUGGUCUGAGAGGACGAUCAGCUACACUGGGACUGAGACACGGCCCAGACUCCUACGGGAGGCAGCAGUGGGGAAUUUUGGACAAUGGGGGCAACCCUGAUCCAGCAAUGCCGCGUGUGUGAAGAAGGCCUUCGGGUUGUAAAGCACUUUUGUCCGGAAAGAAAUUGCUCUGGCUAAUACCUGGGGUAGAUGACGGUACCGGAAGAAUAAGCACCGGCUAACUACGUGCCAGCAGCCGCGGUAAUACGUAGGGUGCGAGCGUUAAUCGGAAUUACUGGGCGUAAAGCGUGCGCAGGCGGUUUUGUAAGACAGGCGUGAAAUCCCCGGGCUCAACCUGGGAAUUGCGCUUGUGACUGCAAGGCUAGAGUGCGUCAGAGGGGGGUAGAAUUCCACGUGUAGCAGUGAAAUGCGUAGAGAUGUGGAGGAAUACCGAUGGCGAAGGCAGCCCCCUGGGACGUGACUGACGCUCAUGCACGAAAGCGUGGGGGGCAAACAGGAUUAGAUACCCUGGUAGUCCACGCCCUAAACGAUGUCAACUAGUUGUUGGGGAUUCAUUUUCUCAGUAACGUAGCUAACGCGUGAAGUUGACCGCCUGGGGAGUACGGUCGCAAGAUUAAAACUCAAAGGAAUUGACGGGGACCCGCACAAGCGGUGGAUGAUGUGGAUUAAUUCGAUGCAACGCGAAAAACCUUACCUACCCUUGACAUGCCACUAACGAAGCAGAGAUGCAUUAGGUGCCCGAAAGGGAAAGUGGACACAGGUGCUGCAUGGCUGUCGUCAGCUCGUGUCGUGAGAUGUUGGGUUAAGUCCCGCAACGAGCGCAACCCUUGUCUCUAGUUGCUACGCAAGAGCACUCUAGAGAGACUGCCGGUGACAAACCGGAGGAAGGUGGGGAUGACGUCAAGUCCUCGUGGCCCUUAUGGGUAGGGCUUCACACGUCAUACAAUGGUGCGUACAGAGGGUUGCCAACCCGCGAGGGGGAGCUAAUCCCAGAAAACGCAUCGUAGUCCGGAUCGUAGUCUGCAACUCGACUACGUGAAGCUGGAAUCGCUAGUAAUCGCGGAUCAGCAUGCCGCGGUGGAUACGU